ACUUCCGGUGGUGCAAUGGUUAGCAUUCACUCUCACAAAGAGUGAGAUCUGUGUUCGAAUCCCGGCUGACGCA
Non-coding RNA from Parelaphostrongylus tenuis, 73 nucleotides. NCBI's taxonomy places the organism in Eukaryota, Metazoa, Nematoda, Chromadorea, Rhabditida, Metastrongylidae. The record is from the annotation of a GenBank genome assembly.